Molecule: non-coding RNA, 561 nt
Organism: Vicugna pacos (alpaca)
Lineage: Eukaryota; Metazoa; Chordata; Mammalia; Artiodactyla; Camelidae
Source: RefSeq, a predicted model, not a curated record
AGGUCUUUGUGUCUUUGCCCUGCUUCAUGAACUCAGCUUGCUGUUUCAUAGGCCUUCUGUUGGUACCCUCAUCUGUGCUGCUCUCAGUGGCUGUUGGCCAGCAGAUUGUGCCCCCUCCUAACACUAGGUCAGGAGCUGAGCUCUUAUCCAGUGGGUGGGCAGGUCACUCCCCCUCCUGAUGCCAGAGUCAGAUGCUGUGCUUGGGGGGAAGCAGGUGGGCAGAUCACACCCCGUCCCAGCACCGUGGUCAGGUGUUGUGUUCCUGCCAGGAAGGUGGGUGGCUGCCCACCUGCCCUCUCCUGGUACUGGUCGCUCUGCUGCUCUGUGCAGCUGCCUGCUCUGCCUCGGGUAGGUGGUCUGUAGGUGGGUUCAGGGAAGACCACGGAACAGCCCCGCCUACACUCUGGGCCAAAUCUGAGCUCCUUGUUUCCCUUGGCAGCACAAGUUCUCUGAGGUGUCAGGGUAGAAAAAUCCUCUCUGCCUCAGGCUAUAAACAAGUCUCAGUCCUGCCUAAAAGCCUGUGGAGCCCCCACGUGCAGAUUCAGGUCUCAGCCCUGCCCC